Molecule: ribosomal RNA, 253 nt
Filed under: uncultured prokaryote
Description: partial 16S ribosomal RNA
Rfam family: Bacterial small subunit ribosomal RNA
Source: RNAcentral
ACGUAGGGGGCAAGCGUUGUCCGGAAUCACUGGGCGUAAAGCGCGCGCAGGCGGUCAUCUACGUCUGGGGUGAAAGCCCUGGGCUCAACCUGGGAAUGGCAUUGGAUACUGGCGACCUAGAGUGCGGUAGAGGGUAGCGGAAUUCCCGGUGUAGCAGUGAAAUGCGUAGAUAUCGGGAGGAACAUCCGUGGCGAAGGCGGCUACCUGGACCAGCACUGACACUGAGGCACGAAAGCGUGGGGAGCAAACAGGA